This is a long non-coding RNA of Diabrotica virgifera virgifera (western corn rootworm), 588 nucleotides long. RefSeq lists it as uncharacterized. The transcript has 2 exons. The record is from RefSeq and is a predicted model, not a curated record. Lineage: Eukaryota; Metazoa; Arthropoda; Insecta; Coleoptera; Chrysomelidae.
AGUAGUUUAUCGCCUACAGAACUGAAUUAGUCCAUAGCAGUUAUCAGUUUUUCUUUCUUGGGAAGCUUAUACAUGUAACUUGUAUUGUUGUAAAUUGUGGGAGUAGGGCAGACAGGGAAAAGUCUUAUUUUGUACUGUUCCCAAGGCUCCCCAUGCAAUACAUUUAAAUGAAUUAUCCAAACAAAGCCGGGGACAAUGGAUAAAAGCCACAAGAAGAACAGAUAUAAGGGAACUAAAAUUAAAAUAUGAAAAGUAAACAUUUUAUAAGUGGAACAACCACCAGAUAUUUAAAAGGUAUAAAAAGAAGAAACUGCUGGAAUUUCAAAACAAAUGUGUUUGACUAGUAAAUAUUUGGAUAAAUAACAGGAGUUACUUUGGGCUAUAGCUACGUGCAGAUUUAUUUCCUUGUGGCUUCCUAUGUUAAUUCUUAUUAAUUAUACACUUAAAUAUGUUUUUAGUCUCAGGAAGAUUUUAUAUUUGAUUAUUUUUGAAUAAACAUUAUUAUUAUUAUUACCUUAAUUUCCAUUAAAUAAAUUAACUGUAAUCAAUAAAGUAAUCGUUUAAUUGUUAAUAAAUUAUCAAGUAUGA